CAUCAAUCUUGUGCUUGUAUCUUAUAUAAUUCUUCUUGUAUUUGUAUUACACAUCAUAUAAUCAAAAAUGUUUAGGUCUAACUCCCACGAGUACCCCCAAUACUCCAAUUACUCCAACCCUACCACCUAUGAGAGGACCAUAUAUGAGGAGGAUUCCUAUGGUCGUCACAACCACAACCACCACCAUCACCAGCCUGAGACUCGCGAGCGAGUCGAGGUGGUAGAGUACGAGAAGAUGCCGGAGUAUGGUACUCGCGAAGUCGUCUACGAAGAAGUUGAAACCAACCGAAACUAUCCACACAGGCAUGGCCACUAUGACCUGUAAGCUUGUUACCAUGCAUGUGACAUGGUAAUUUUGCUAGGCAGGGCUACAUUAUAAAUAUAUGGGUGUGCUUUUGUAUUUAAUAAAUAAAAUCCUGCUUAGCUAGAUCUUUAUAUGUGUUAUUUUGUAUCGCUUCUUAUUAAUUAAUAAAUCUAUCUUACUUUGCAUUACUAUUAUAUAUACUUUUUAAUGUAUUUAAAUUACCAUGCAUGCCAUUUUUCUUUUUGUUAAUUAUUUACUUCUAGUGAUGAUAUAUAUAUUAAGAUCCUCGUAUAUACUAACUUAUUCUUUGAUUCAAAUGAAAAAUAAAUGUUAUACAUGGUGUGAUGUUCUAUAUCUUCCAAUUCCAAACAUAAUUAAUCAACUUGAUUCUCAUCACAUGUCUUGAACAUGAAAAAUAUAGUCAAGUUAGGUUGAUAAUAGUGGCAAAAUAUCAAAAUAUAUUUUAUAAGUGUUAGAGAUAUAAUUAUAUAUGUUGUUUUUUUUAUUAGGUUAAAUUUUUAGGAAAAGUGAUUUCAUGACAUAAUAUUAGAUUUUUAUAUUUAAAAGGUUUAGAGUUCGAUUCUUUGUAAAUUUUAAAAGUGGAAUAAAUUAGCAUAAAGCAAAUAAAAAUAGAAAAAAAGACUUAUGCAAAAAAUCAAACAAACUCAAAAAGAGACGCUUACUUAAGGAGGAGUGUAGAGAUAUAACAAUUUAUGUUACCUCUAUUAUCUUAAACUUUUAAAAGAAGUGAUAAAAAUUUGAGUUGAAAUCCUAAAAAUGAAUAAAUUCGACAAAUAAGUCUUUAUCGAUACAUACCUUAGUGGUAAAAAGAUAAAAAUAUUCUAUGUAUACUGAAAAUCAAUUAUUAUAUAUAUAUAUAUAUAUAUAUAUAUUAAUGAUUUANNNNNNNNNNNNNNNNNNNNNNNNNNNNNNNNNNNNNNNNNNNNNNNNNNNNNNNNNNNNNNNNNNNNNNNNNNNNNNNNNNNNNNNNNNNNNNNNNNNNNNNNNNNNNNNNNNNNNNNNNNNNNNNNNNNNNNNNNNNNNNNNNNNNNNNNNNNNNNNNNNNNNNNNNNNNNNNNNNNNNNNNNNNNNNNNNNNNNNNNNNNNNNNNNNNNNNNNNNNNNNNNNNNNNNNNNNNNNNNNNNNNNNNNNNNNNNNUCAAACAUUUUACAUAACAAGGUCCAACCAAGUAAUGAAUAUAUGUGUUUUUGGUCAUUGUUCGAUUUAUUUAUUUAUUUUUUCUUCUCCUCCUUAUUUUUUGUUCUUUAAAAGUUAGGAGUAUAUAAUUCAACUUUAGUAAAAAAAUUGUUUAUAUAAAUCCUUCAUUUUGAAGUAAAACACAAGAAGAUGCAGAAAAAAUUUUGUAUAAUAACAAAACAUGAAAAAGAAGAAGAAAAACAUGUUGGGAGAAAGAAAAAAAAAAUAAAAUAUGAAGAAAGAGUAGAAAAAGAAGAAAUUUAGGAAAAAAUUUUGGUGCCAUGGUUGAAAAAUUUCGAUACUAUUUUUAAGAAAUUUUAGUGUUAUUUUUGUUUUUAAUAACUUCUAAUUAGUUAAAAAAAUUAUGUGUCGUCGUUAAUAAAUUUUGGUGUCAAAAUUAAUUUUUUUUGUAUCAGGUUUAAAUAAUUUCGAUGUUAUUUUUUUGAUAAAUAAUGUAUAAUUCAAAACUCUUUUGCUCUUCUCCUUCAUCACCUUCGUCAUUUUUUUUUGUUCUUUAUUUUCUCUUUCUUAUUUCACCUUAUCAUAAUUUUUCUUGUUUUUAUUCUCUUAAGACGAAUAAAAAUAAGUAAAAAAAAAAUCAAAUAAAAAUAAAUAAAUAAAUAAAAAAUAUUGUAAUAACAUCAAGAAGGAGGAGGAAAAGCACGGGUGAACUAGAAAUUUUUUUUGAGAAAGACAAACAUAAAAAAUAAAAAAAAUAUAAGUUAAGAAAUGAAAAAAAUUGAAAAUUAAAAAAAGACUAAACUGAAAAAUUAGAGGUUUGGGAGGGGCAAUUGUCCCCCUUUCCCACUAACGUUCUCCGCCAUUGAGGAGAAGAAAUGAAAAAAACAUAGCAACAGCAACAACAAUAAAAAAAAUGACAAGAAGAAAAAAUACAUAAAGAAAAAAAAAUGUAUAAUUUAUGUACAUCUUAAAUGAUUGAUUUUUGUUAGAUUUAGACUAAUAUAAUUAAAAUUGGUUGAUAAAAAUAUUUGAAUAUACAUAGCAAAACUCAUAGUAAAAAUAAUCAAAUUUAUCGUAGAUAAAUAAUUAAUGAAUUAAAUACAUAGGUAGAAUACAAACACUUUAGUGAAACCAACGAUCCACAUGUAUAUAUGUGUUCGUUAGAGUUUGGACGAAAGAGAAAGAGUAACAAAUAAAAGCCUACCUAACAUAUCUAACAUUUUCAUGUUUUCAUAAACUUACUUGAUCGAUCCUAUUAAAUUUUAAAGUAUAGAAGGAGACAUAAAAUUGUUAUAUUUUUAAUAUUGUUCUCUUACACAAUAACCUCUCUUAUAGGUUGCGUAAAUUUUACAUUGAUUUUUUUUAUUAGUUUUAUGUUGAAUUAUUUUAUUUGAUAAACGAAGAUCAAAUUAUAAAUCUUUUAAUUAUAAAAAUUUUGAUAUCAUAUUAUAAAACUGAUCGAAAAAGAUAUAUAAAUUAUUAAUAUGUUGUGAAAAUUAGUAAAACUAAUUUUAAAAAAUAAAUAAAUAAAUAAUAACUAAAUAAAAUGACUAAUUUUUAGUAAAAAUGACUAAACCGAAGACAAAUUACAUAUGUCACUAAAUCUGUUAGUAAAAAUCGAUCGCUACGGUUAUUUUGUGUUACUAAACAAAUUAGAUGCUUAUAAAGAAAAUGAUAACUAAGAUAGAAUAUAUGACAAGUUUAUGCUCUUUUCUUUUCUUCUUUUUGAUUUAAUAGUUUUUUUUAUCAUAAUUAUUAGAGGUGUAUGACAUUUCCCUUUCAGGAGAUGUAAUGUCAUACUAGUAAAAAAUUAUUUAUUUUUGUAAUUAAUUACACUUUUAGAUUAAUAAAAGUUUAAAUUAUUAACAAAAAUAAUCUCAAAAAAUACCAACAACAGAUAAAUUGCAAAAAAUUUAAAAAUAUGAUUAGAUAUAUAUGUUCAAAAAGAACUUUAGAGUCGUUAUAAGAAUAAUUAGAAAAAUGAGAUCUUUUAAUAUUUAAAAUGUAGUGAUUUUAUAGUUAGUGAUUUUUUUUAUCAUUUAUGUUUUGAAGAAUAACCUAAAACUUUCUAAAAAGAAUGAAAAAUUUAUGUGUAGUGAUAAAUGCCCAGCGCGGAGAACGAAACGGCAAACAAAUACCACAGCAGAUCAAGAGACACGCACACAAGGGACGCGUCCCUCCCACGAUCAGCCGACCCAACGACAACGCAUGAGUGUUAACGUCACGCGCCACCAAUGACCUCCACGGUCAUCGCUGACGCGUCGGGGGCACUGUUACGGCCUGGCCCAAGACUCGCGCGGGUCAGCCCGACCCGAGACCCCGCCGGCCCAAUGGUGCGUCCUCCACCCGACCCGGACACGCGUCCCGUACGGCUCGCUCACAGCCGUGGGACAGCACCUUUGAGGACAUGGGCCUGCCCAUUCGAAGGGCCCACCACUGACAUGUAUAUAAGGGGGAGACUGGCUCUCCCCCCAAGGUACGUCACAUUCACACAUCAUUCCCUCUCCGCCUGCACAUAUUCUGACAAGGGCGUCGGAGUGUCUUUGCAGGUGGCACCCCCCCUUUCCCAUCAGAAGUACUCGGGACCUCGCUCACCCGGAACCAGGAAACCACGGCCAGACGAGCUCCUCCACCGUCCGAAGCAUUGACCUCAGGAUCCUAACCCGAACCGUCCGGUACCCGACCUACCGAACAGAUACAUACUAAUAAUAAUAAUAAUAAUAUUCUAAAUAAGAUAUUAUUGCAGGAUACAUGCAUAUAUGGAGGGAAACCAAAAUCAAUGAACGCCUACUUUAGAAUUAUUCUUCCGCGUUACAUUAUGCUAUUUUUUUCAUCAAUUAUUCACAUCUCCAUUUUAUAUGCAUAGUUUUUCCAAAGGUAGAGAAAUGGAAUCAAAAUUCCCUAAUUAUUAGCAAAUAUACUACAUUAUUAUACAUAUUGAGAAAAGCAACGGAAUUAGAUUCAGUUCUUAUCAAUUUGAAUUGGGGUAGAGAAUAUAAAGAAAUUAAUAAAAAAAAAAAAAUUAAGCACAUAUGAUAUCCUCUAUAUAUAGCCCUAAAAACCAACCUCAACAUGCAUCAAUUAUUUUUGUAUCUUGUAUUGUUCUGUUUUCAUAUUUUGUGAGUUUGUGAUUUUUUAAAAUAUUGUAUCCAUGGCCAACUUGUUCCGAUCCCACGAAUACCCAAACACUUACCAAACUUACGAAAAAACCUAUUACGAGGAGGAUCGUGUUGUUGAAGGAUCCUACGACCGCUUCAACAACCAUCACCACCACCACCAGCAGCCAGAGGUUCGCGAGCGAGUCGAGGUGGUAGAAUACGAGAGGAUGCCUGAAUAUGGAACUCGCGAAGUGAUUUAUGAAGAGGUUGAAACUGAUCGAGUGUACCCAUCACACAGGAACAAGCAUGGCCACCACUUUGGCCUCUAAGCUUGUUCAAUUGCCACUAAUUGCAUGUGAUUAUGGUAAUUUGCUAGGCAGGGUUACAUAAUCAUCUUCAUAAUAAUGUUACAAAAAUAUAUUGGUGUGGUGUGUGCUUGUACUAAUAAUUCCUGCUUGGCUUGAUCUUAUGUUUAAUUUUCAUCUUAUCAGUUAUUAAUAAAAGUUUGUUUUAUUAAUAUUGCACUAUAUAUUUUAAUUAUAUACUUAUAUUGUAUUUUAUAUAACAACCAUGC
Molecule: long non-coding RNA, 5134 nt
Filed under: Arachis ipaensis
Lineage: Eukaryota; Viridiplantae; Streptophyta; Magnoliopsida; Fabales; Fabaceae
Description: long non-coding RNA (AIPA_LNC000505)
Source: RNAcentral